CCUUAAGACCGUGAGGAGUCCUGAUGGAGGUCUUUAACAUAAUGAUGAGAUUCACAACAGUCAAAAUAUUUUCCGCUUAGAGGACGUUCAAAACUAAUAGCCGUCUGUCGUAAUUCUGAAUACCUUUGUUAAAUUGGAGGCAAUGGGCUGAAUGACGGAUUCACAGUGGGUAACAACAUUGGAGGCUAGACAAAGCAUUUGCUGGCCCUUAGCUAAAGAAGGCAGAUUACCUGCAACAGGAGCUUGUUUCCAUCAUAGUCUUCCGUCUGCCACCUCAGCUCACUGAUUGGGCUGCAGGGGUUAGGCAGCAGAGGGAUGAGGUGUCCAAUGUCAUGAACUCUGAACUCGAGCAAGGCCAAUUCGGUGGGGGAGGUGCCCUGACCCUUCGGGAGCCUCUUCAGCGAGAGCUGAACAUCAACCUCCGCGUUGGAAUAGACGGUGAAGAACACAAAGUCCGGCUUUCGCUGGGACGACUCUCUCCUCAGGAUCAGCUGGUACAUCCUCGCCAUGUCGACAAAGUUGUCAAAGCUGCAGUAAAUGGUGAAGCGGACAAUCUCCUUCCCAUAGUGCACCUGCCUUACAGCCCAGAGGGCAUUGUGAUUGGCCAGAGUGAAGAAGUCCUGGUUCCGGGGCAUGUAGGGAAGGAUUCGACCCUUGACCAUCUCGGUGUGGUGGUACUCCCACGGUGGGUGGAGGAAACGCUCGUGGAGCUGGGAAAUCUGCUGCCCGCACUCUUCAUGGAUGAAGACAAUGAUGGCCAGAGCCGGGUGGGCAGCACUGCCGCCGCUCCUCGUCCCCCGUGGCUUUGAGGAUCCGCGCUCGGAGGCAAUGAAGAGCCGUAGCUUGGGGUUAAUCCACGUUACAAGGCUGUCAACUGCGCUCUGCAGGGCUGCCGCAUCUCCUGGGUUGGUGAUAAUGUGCAAGGUGACCAGGAAUGGAUCUGCCAUGCCCUCCAGGUCGCCUGUUCGGGGGAGAGAGCAUAAGAAGGGAAACGCGUUUGAGUCAGUGUGGCAGCAGAAUCCCACAGCACAGAAAGAGACCAUUUGGCCCAUUGUAACUGGGCUUGUUGUUUGAAAUUUGUUCCACUUGCCUGCUGCCUCCCAACACCAAUGUUUCCUUUUCAAUCUUACAUCCAUUGCCCUCAUAAAUACCGUCUCCCAUCACUCUUCCCAGCAGUGCAUUCCAGAUCGCACCAAGACUCACUGGAAUUGGUCCUGCCCUGGUAAUGCCUCUGGAGUAAUGGGAAAAGUAAUCGAUCAUUCACACUAGCUGGAUUCAAACAAGAAGAACGCCUGACCUGUGAGAUUCUUGACAGAUAGUGAACAGGGUAAAUGAAUUAAAAAUCCACUCCCAUCAGAUGCAAUCAAUGCGAACACACACAAGAGUUAAUAAAACAGGAAGGCCUGAAAGUUCAUGAUGUCCUUUCCAUUUUCUCACAGAGCUGGAAUAAGUUCUGUAUCUAAUCUCCAAUUUGGUGUUGAGAUCACAUCCUAGGUUCUCAAUACAAUAUAAAGUUGGUGCAGCAUCUAAAUACUGUAGCAGUUCCAGCAUACAGUUAUCCAAUCCACUCACCCAACAUACACUGAUAGUUCCAAUUGCAUGUAACUGUCCUGUUCCCAUUUUAUGUCCUUUUCUUUCAACCACAGAGCCCAACUACUCUUCACACAGUUACUUUCAAAGUAAAUUCUUCAGCCUCUUAACCUUGUACAAAGAGGUCUGCCCUCGCUUAUCAAGCUCUGACAUUUAAUCUUGUAUCUAUGACCUCUCAUUCUUGAGUCAGAGAGUCAUAGAGCAUGGAAACAGACACUUUGCUCCAAC
Molecule: long non-coding RNA, 1818 nt
Organism: Rhincodon typus (whale shark)
Lineage: Eukaryota; Metazoa; Chordata; Chondrichthyes; Orectolobiformes; Rhincodontidae
Exons: 3
Source: RefSeq, a predicted model, not a curated record